This is a long non-coding RNA of Panicum virgatum (switchgrass), 2082 nucleotides long. RefSeq lists it as uncharacterized. The transcript is spliced from 2 exons. Lineage: Eukaryota; Viridiplantae; Streptophyta; Magnoliopsida; Poales; Poaceae. The record is from RefSeq and is a predicted model, not a curated record.
CAAGCAGACCCCCACCUUUUCUCUAGUCCAGUAUAUGAAAUGAUAUGUCUAGUUCCUCUCGCUGCUAGUGGGUGGCUAUUUGUCGGGGGAACAUCAGCACUUAGCACAUGAAAUGGAAGCUUCUACAAAAUCUUUAGCUUUCGACGUUGUGUUAGUUUUUCAUAGCACAGACAAAGGCAGCUUACUGAUGAAGAACACAUUUCAAACAGUGUUCUUUCUAAAUGGUUUUUACAUAAUAUAUUCAUAUUGGUGUGGGUGGCGGUGAUAAGACUAAUCUUAGCUUAAUAAUGCUUCUUUUUAAAUUGGUAGGACAUUUUUGCAUAUGUAGAAUCAUACACUUGUUUUUCUUUCGAAAAUAACCUCGCAUAAUGUGAUUUCACCUACUUCUGCGAUACAAAUAAUAACCUUGCACACACCCACUAGCAGUAACACAUUUUUCUGGGCAACUUGUAGUUUCUAUUUUUUGUUUAAGAAAUAUUGAUUACGAUGACAACUACACUAUUUUUCACCCGCAAUUAUGCCUAUUCCUUGUAGCAUUUCUAUAGCUUAUGAUAAGCAAUUUUCAGUUUCCUUUUAGAUUAAAUUUGCAUUCAUCCAUCUCUUUUACUGAGUUUAUUUUUUCUGCAUAGUCUUUGGCUUUUUGCAUUAAUGCAUGGAAGAUAGUUUUUAUCUUGCAUUCCUCAAACUGGUUGCAUGCAUGUUCAUCAUUAGCACUCUAAUAAAUUUCAAUAGGGAUUUUAAUACUAUCCAACUAGCAUUUAAAAUGUUCACACGAACCAAUUUAGAAAAGUUUCUGCUUUUUGCUUAUUAGUACAUAAGCAUUGCAUGCAACUUAUGCUAAACUAGCAUUUUUAUAAAACUUAUAAGCAUUUAUAGGUAGGAAUUAAGCAACAAUAUUAUUACAGAUGGACAAUAAUAUAGUUUCCAAUAAGCAUUUUCCCUAUAUGUAACAACAAAAAUAUCAACACUAGGUAAACAUUUAGGCAAUUUAUAUGUAGGAAUUAGAGAAUAAUAUAAUUACAGAUGGGCAAUGAUAUGGUUCCAUAAGCAUCCCCCCCCCCGGUUCAUUGUUUGUGUCUAGUUUGCUGGUUAGUUGUACAGCUAGGCAUGAACAAGCUCACACAAGGCUUGAAUUGGUGGAUUUGCUGGCUAUUAAUACUGAUUCAAUUCCUUGUAUUGCUGUUAGCUAUCCUCAUCAAUUUAGGUGAUUUUGCUGGUUAUUAAUAGUGAUUCAAUUUUUUGUUUUGUUGGUUAUCUAUCUUCAUCAAUUUAGGCAAUUUUCUGGUUAUUCAUAUUGAUUCAAUUCCUUGUUUUAGUGUCAUAGCAGACUCACACAAAUCUAAUGAUUGUACUGGUCCAUACUGUUUUGGUGCUAGAGAAUAAGGCCUGAAGAUUUAUAUUUCACACAAAAAUGGUGUUCGGAACUUGAAACCUGAUUUUCCUUUUCUUUUUGUCUGCAAGAUUCCUCAACAAAUCGGCACUAUAACCCGCCAUGUAGCUGUAAGGCUCCCAUCAUUGUAUUUUUUUUUUGGUGCCAAGGUGAGCUUUCCUCUGCCUCUCUCCUUUGUGCUCCCACCACUGUCCUGUAAGUAUCAGCAAAAUAAGUCAUUUUAAAAGGCAAUAAUGUGUUUCUAAAUAGGCAGAUCAGUGUUUCUUGGUCAGUCAAUUAUGCAUAUUCUUUUUCUUCCCGAUUUCUUACUUAACCAGCAUCGAAAUCCCUAAUGAAUAUAUUUUUUGCAUUUAAUCAGGUCUACAACAUUUCAUUAUACAUAUGGAGAUGGAGGGCAAUGAGGUGUAUCAACCCAUCAGUUCGGAAACUUCAACACAUGUUGUUUAGUUUGUCCAUCAAAAGCAACUUUUCAGCAUCACAACAAAUCUGUCCUGAGGCAAUGUGUGUUUGUGUUAAUAAGAUUUUGUAGUUCUUUCUUGUGAGAUGCAUGCGUAUCACAACAGAGUCAUGAAAGUUUAAUAUUUGUCUGUGAUGUAGUUUUUUAGUCAAGGAAUGAGGGAGAGGCAAAUCAAUGUGUAAAUAGACUCCUGUAAACUAAAUUGAUAUGCUUAUCACAUUUGGCAGUUCUGUAA